CACAGUGGCCUUUUAAAAUCUAAACCCAGAGGGAAUAAUUCUGAGACUGUGUCAUGAAUUUGGAGUACAUGCCAUAUCUGGACUCAAAUACCAGUUUCUGGCUCUGACUCUGUUCUCCCUUGUUGAGAAGGAAUGUCACUGAGGCCUUUGCAGUUUUUCACAGAAAAUGCAAGAGUCACUGUUUAGGUAUAUAAAUAGCCCAAAUAACAAAUAUAAUGAUGCAUUUGGAGCUGGAUUUUCACAAGGAUUCAUGAGAUCACACAUAUUUUCCCCAAAGCUGAUGAAUUACAGGUUACUUCUUGGAGCUGGAGAGCAGAAGUGAAGAAGAGGAGCCGGUCCAAAUGGCACAAAAGGCACACAAUUUGAAGUGGUGUGGUGUGACUCUGCGUGGGUUAAAGCCUUCUGGGAUUGUAUGGUGACACUCAGUAUACCAUGGCCAUCUCAACUGCGACAGGAUACAGAGUAAGG
This is a long non-coding RNA of Passer montanus (Eurasian tree sparrow), 468 nucleotides long. RefSeq lists it as uncharacterized. Lineage: Eukaryota; Metazoa; Chordata; Aves; Passeriformes; Passeridae. The transcript has 4 exons. The record is from RefSeq and is a predicted model, not a curated record.